UUGGAAUUCUUCAGGGGUAAAUGGUUUUGAGCUUGGAAUUCUUCAGGGGUAAAGGAUUUUGAGCUUGGAAUUUUGGAAUUCUUCAGGGGUAAAAGGUUUUGAGCUUGGAAUUCUUCAGGGGUAUAACAAUGAAAAACAUGUAUCCUCAACAGGGGGUGUACGGAUAUUAAAUGGAAUAGCCCAUUGUAUGUGUUUAUAGCACAUUGCAUGUCAAUUGCUGAUUUUUAGAAAUGCCAAUUUUUGAAAAGCAGUGUGCUAUAGAGGGCCCCCUAUACGUUUUGCGUGAAGCGUGAAGGGCUUGUUUUACUUAGCCGUGAAACGUAAUCAGGCCCCCUAUACUUUUUGCGUGAAGCGUGAAGGGCUUAUUUUACUUAGCCGUGAAACGUGAUCGAUGAUUUUCUUAAUCCGUGACUCGUGAAAAGGCAAAAUAUUUUUACGUGAAAGCAUAUUAUGAAGA
This is a non-coding RNA of Paramuricea clavata, 457 nucleotides long. The record is from the annotation of a GenBank genome assembly. Lineage: Eukaryota; Metazoa; Cnidaria; Anthozoa; Malacalcyonacea; Plexauridae.